Syngnathoides biaculeatus (alligator pipefish) is the source of this 1063-nucleotide long non-coding RNA. RefSeq lists it as uncharacterized. The record is from RefSeq and is a predicted model, not a curated record. NCBI's taxonomy places the organism in Eukaryota, Metazoa, Chordata, Actinopteri, Syngnathiformes, Syngnathidae. The transcript has 3 exons.
GUCCUAGGUAACUGGAUUAUCUUGUUACAGAAUCAAGCAGCCACAGCAAACAGUUAUACCCAUGUCAUUUUAGGAUUUUAUGAAGAGAAAGGUGGAUUACUGACAGUUCAAAGCUGAUACCAAUAAGAGUCAAGUUAUGGUGGGAGAAAUCUUAUUUUUGAGUACGUCCAAUAAAACCCACAUCCACGCUGGUGCCAAGACCACUCCAGUGCUCAAUUGGUUGCAGUGGAGCCAAGAAAAGCGUGGAGGAAGGGGCAAGGCUGGAGCAUUUGUGACCCGCAGCUCAGCGAGGGGCUCAAGUCUCUCAAGGACUCAAAUAACUGUCAGAUAUCAAAAUACUUUUGCAGGGAAUUGAUGACCGAGGCUUGUUUUGUUUUUAAUAUUUAUGAAUAAAGAAAAAAAUGGGCUCCAGGGGAUAAUCCCAGAGCUGCUGUUGACCUGUUUUUAGCCACUUUUGCUGUAGAUUUAAGGUUGGAUUCAUCAAUAUAUCCAGGGGGAGGUAUUUUGAAUUCUGUCAUAAAUUCUGAGUAAUUCUUUAAAAAGCGGAGGGAAAAAAAAACAAGACAUCUGUAACAUCUCAGAAACAUAUGCAUGCACACACAAACACACACGUAUACACAAAAGCUCCAUAGCAGGUCUUUACUUAAUGAGCUCAAAAUGGAGCUCUUCCCUACUGUGCUGAAUAGGGGUGAGCGAUGGACGUAUUAGCAGGGGGAUGAGGAAGGAGGGGAACAAGAUGAGAGGGAAAAAAAUACAUUACUAACUUUGAAAGCGAGAAUGUGAGGCUGGAAUGUUUUAUCAUUAUGCUCGUUGGCCUUCUGCUGUGCUAUGUUUUUUUCUUCUUGAAUUUAACUUGUCUGUAAACCAUGCCCUUCACAAACUAGCAGAUUCACGUAAAUUUUGUUGUGAAUUCACCACAGUCAAAUGGAAGCUAUGCUCACUCCAAAUCUUCAUUGUGACUUUGUAAAAAGAUUCAACUUCAAGCCUGCAAGGAAAUUAUUUGUUUUAUAAGAUGGCUCCCCUCCUUUUAUGUGUUGUGCGUAAAGAUAGGAAUAAAAUUUAC